UAACACCAGCGCCACGAGUGGCAAUCAUGUUUAUUGGGCCUAAAGCGUUCGUAGCUGGUUUUGUAAGUUCUUUGUGAAAUCGUUUGGCUUAACCAAACGACUUGCAAGAAAUACUGCAAUUCUAGGGACCGGGAGGAGUGUGGGGUAUUCCGGGGGGAACGGUAAAAUGUAAUAAUCCUCGGAGGACCACCAGUGGCGAAGGCGCCACACUAGAACGGAUCCGACAGUGAGGGACGAAGGCCAGGGGAGCAAAACGGAUUAGAUACCCGAGUAGUCCUGGCAGUAAACGCUGCGUGCUAGGUGUUGCAUUUUCUUGGGAAAGUGCAGUAUCGGAGCGAAGGCGUUAAGCACGCCGCCUGGGUAGUACGGUCGCAAGGCUG
RNAcentral lists this ribosomal RNA (380 nucleotides) under uncultured Halobacteria archaeon. Its description in RNAcentral is "bacterial SSU rRNA". It matches the Rfam family "Archaeal small subunit ribosomal RNA", at positions 471 to 851 of the family's 1478-position model. The record is from RNAcentral. Lineage: Archaea; Methanobacteriati; Methanobacteriota; Halobacteria.